Molecule: ribosomal RNA, 736 nt
Filed under: uncultured bacterium
Lineage: Bacteria
Description: bacterial SSU rRNA
Rfam family: Bacterial small subunit ribosomal RNA
Source: RNAcentral
AGAGUUUGAUCAUGGCUCAGGACGAACGCUGACGGCGUACUUUAGAACAUGCAAGUCGAACGAGAACACCCUUCGGGGCUAGUAAAGUGGCGAACGGGUGAGUAACACGUGGGCAACCUGCCCCUCGCAGGGGGACAACCGGAGGAAACUCCGGCUAAUACCCCGUAAGCUCUCGGAGUCGAGUGACUCCGGGAGGAAAGGUAGCUUCGGCCAUCCGGCGAGGGAUGGGCCCGCGGUACAUUAGCUAGUUGGUGGGGUAACGGCCCACCAAGGCGACGAUGUAUAGCUGGUCUGAGAGGAUGAUCAGCCACACUGGGACUGAGACACGGCCCAGACUCCUACGGGAGGCAGCAGUCGGGAAUCUUGCGCAAUGGGCGAAAGCCUGACGCAGCAACGCCGUGUGGGUGAGGAAGGCCUUAGGGUCGUAAAGCUCUGUUGUUGGGGACGAAGGGCGAAGGGUUAAUAGCCCCUAGCUUGACGGUACCCUUCGAGGAAGCCCCGGCUAACUACGUGCCAGCAGCCGCGGUAAUACGUAGGGGGCGAGCGUUGUCCGGAAUUAUUGGGCGUAAAGAGCGUGUAGGCGGAUAUGGUAAGUCUGCCGUGAAAACCCAGGGACUCAACCCUGGGCGUGACGGUGGAAAGCUGCCAGGCUAGAGGAUGGUANAAGGCCAGUGGAAUNCCCGGNUGUAGCGGUGAAAUGCGCAGAUAUCGGNAAGGAACACCAGUACGCNCAAUG